Molecule: long non-coding RNA, 914 nt
Organism: Carassius gibelio (silver crucian carp)
Lineage: Eukaryota; Metazoa; Chordata; Actinopteri; Cypriniformes; Cyprinidae
Exons: 2
Source: RefSeq, a predicted model, not a curated record
GAUGAAUGUGCUGCAAAUCCUCACGACAAAACCACGCAAUAAAAACCAAGGGAAACAGCACCGUCUACCGAUUAUUGCCACUAACAGCCCGUAAGCGUGUAAAUGGAGACAAGGACAGACCACCAUGAUGUAGUGCCUCCAAAUCUACAGGAUGAAUUGGUGCGUGUAGAUACUCACAUCCCCACUCCUGGGCCCUCUCUGAUGCCCAUGGACAUUUUCAGUGUAAGGAUUGUGUUGCCUGUUGUCAUUAUUUAAAAUGCAAAUCAUGUAGACAUGUAAAAUUUACAAAAUUAAACAAUUGAUCACAUAUAAAACAACACAUGUGAUAUACAUAAUUAUGUGUUCUUGCCCUUUAUUGUUAUACGUGCAUUGCGGACUAGAAUUGUUAAGCAUAUGAGUGCUAUCAGGAGGCAAGAUCACACCUCCAGUUUUUCGUCAUUUGGAGUCUGCAAAACAAUCUUUUUCCGAUUUCAAAUUCCUGGGCAUUGAGAGGGUUCUCUAUAGCAGAGGUGGUAACCGUGAUAGAAAAUUGUCACAUAGAGAGGCUUUUAUUUUUGUAAAUGGAAAUUGUUGGCAUGACAAUUAUCCCUCAUUGAUUAAGAUCAACUGUCAACAAUUUGCAAUUGUGCCUAUAUAAAUGAUGUUGCUUUUUUGCCCCAUAAGCACUUAAGAAAGCAUGGGCUGAAAUGUGUGCUUCUUUUUCUGUUUUUAAUACUUUCUGCAAAAUAAAAAUAUUUUUGAUAGACCUUUUUUAGUGAAAACAGACCAUGUUUGUAUCAAGCAGAUAUAUUUUAAUAAGCUCAUUCUGUACGGUGUAAUAUAAAACUCUUCUCAUGGUCUUGAAUAAGUGUAAAACAUUAAUAUACCUUCAUCAACCGUUGAUUAAUAGCCCUAAAAGUGCAGAUUAAAAUAAA